RNAcentral lists this ribosomal RNA (451 nucleotides) under uncultured bacterium. Its description in RNAcentral is "partial 16S ribosomal RNA". It matches the Rfam family "Bacterial small subunit ribosomal RNA", at positions 29 to 523 of the family's 1533-position model. The record is from RNAcentral.
AACGAACGCUGGCGGCAGGCUUAACACAUGCAAGUCGCACGGGUGCAGCAAUGCAUCAGUGGCAGACGGGUGAGUAACACGUGGGAACCCUCCGAGGGGUACGGAACAACUCAGGGAAACUUGAGCUAAUACCGUAUACGUCCGUGAGGAGAAAGAUUAAUCGCCCUUAGACGGGCCCGCGUCGGAUUAGCCAGUUGGCGGGGUAACGGCCUACCAAGGCGACGAUCCGUAGCUGAUCUUAGAGGAUGAUCAGCCACACUGGGACUGAGACACGGCCCAGACUCCUACGGGAGGCAGCAGUGGGGAAUCUUGGACAAUGGGCGCAAGCCUGAUCCAGCCAUGCCGCGUGAGUGAAGAAGGUCUUCGGAUUGUAAAGCUCUUUUGCCAGGGACGAUAAUGACGGUACCUGGAGAAUAAGCCCCGGCAAACUUCGUGCCAGCCGCCGCAGUAA